RNAcentral lists this ribosomal RNA (429 nucleotides) under Chloroflexota bacterium. RNAcentral describes it as "Chloroflexi bacterium partial 16S ribosomal RNA". It matches the Rfam family "Bacterial small subunit ribosomal RNA", at positions 355 to 776 of the family's 1533-position model. Lineage: Bacteria; Bacillati; Chloroflexota. The record is from RNAcentral.
UGGGGAAUUUUGCACAAUGGGCGCAAGCCUGAUGCAGCCAUGCCGCGUGUAUGAAGAAGGCCUUCGGGUUGUAAAGUACUUUCAGUCGGGAGGAAGGUGGUAAGGUUAAUAACCUUAUCAAUUGACGUUACCGACAGAAGAAGCACCGGCUAACUCCGUGCCAGCAGCCGCGGUAAUACGGAGGGUGCAAGCGUUAAUCGGAAUUACUGGGCGUAAAGCGCACGCAGGCGGUUGAUUGAGUCAGAUGUGAAAUCCCCGGGCUUAACCCGGGAAUUGCAUCUGAUACUGGUCAGCUAGAGUCGUGUAGAGGGGGGUAGAAUUCCAUGUGUAGCGGUGAAAUGCGUAGAGAUGUGGGGGAAUACCGGUGGCGAAGGCGGCCCCCUGGGCAAAGACUGACGCUCAGGUGCGAAAGCGUGGGGAGCAAACAGG